Molecule: long non-coding RNA, 574 nt
Organism: Bactrocera latifrons
Lineage: Eukaryota; Metazoa; Arthropoda; Insecta; Diptera; Tephritidae
Exons: 3
Source: RefSeq, a predicted model, not a curated record
AAUAAAAGUUUUUUUUCCCGCGAAUGCGCUUUCAAAAUAUUCGGUGAAUUCGGAGGUUUGGUUAAUAAUGUAAAUUUUCAAUGAAACUAAUUUGGUGCGGUUAAUGGAAAUUAAAAGCAAAUUUACAAGGCGUAAAUAAGUAUACAUACAGACAUGUGAUGUUUGCAAAGUUUGUUUGAAGAACUGCUAUGCGGAAUCUACUUUAUCACGAACAUUAAAUCCCUAUAUUUGAGUGACACAAAGCAUUCAGUGAAGGUCGUGAAGUCAUCGAAAACUUGCCUCAUUUAAGUUGUCCAUCCUCCAUGUACAUACAUACUAUAUAUAUUAUAAAUUUAACGAAUCAGUUCUUGAAAAUCAUCGUUUUGGUAUCAGAGGAUCUCAAUAGCUUUAUGAUAAGGUUCGCUGACCUAAAAACGAGGAUUCUCCAAGAGUCCCCGUGUCUGUGUGUAUGGUCGAAUGAGUAUGCAUAAGCGAAAUUUGAUAAAGAAACGACAAAAAAGCUGGCAUACUCGAGGUGCGCAUCCGUUGACGCUGCCGACUGCCCUGCAGCUGUGCAAUGGUUGCUGAACUGCUG